AGGCGGGGUAACGGCCCACCUAGCCGACGAUGGAUAGGGGUUCUGAGAGGAAGGUCCCCCACAUUGGAACUGAGACACGGUCCAAACUCCUACGGGAGGCAGCAGUGAGGAAUAUUGGUCAAUGGACGAGAGUCUGAACCAGCCAAGUAGCGUGAAGGAUGAAGGUCCUACGGAUUGUAAACUUCUUUUAUAAGGGAAUAAACCCUCCCACGUGUGGGAGCUUGUAUGUACCUUAUGAAUAAGCAUCGGCUAACUCCGUGCCAGCAGCCGCGGUAAUACGGAGGAUGCGAGCGUUAUCCGGAUUUAUUGGGUUUAAAGGGAGCGCAGACGGGUCGUUAAGUCAGCUGUGAAAGUUUGGGGCUCAACCUUAAAAUUGCAGUUGAUACUGGCGUCCUUGAGUGCGGUUGAGGUGUGCGGAAUUCGUGGUGUAGCGGUGAAAUGCUUAGAUAUCACGAAGAACUCCGAUUGCGAAGGCAGCACACUAAGCCGUAACUGACGUUCAUGCUCGAAAGUGUGGGUAUCAAACAGGAUUAGAUACCCUGGUAGUCCACACGGUAAACGAUGGAUACUCGCUGUUGGCGAUAUACGGUCAGCGGCUUAGCGAA
Molecule: ribosomal RNA, 605 nt
Filed under: uncultured bacterium
Lineage: Bacteria
Description: bacterial SSU rRNA
Rfam family: Bacterial small subunit ribosomal RNA
Source: RNAcentral